RNAcentral lists this ribosomal RNA (253 nucleotides) under uncultured bacterium. RNAcentral describes it as "partial 16S ribosomal RNA". It matches the Rfam family "Bacterial small subunit ribosomal RNA", at positions 524 to 776 of the family's 1533-position model. The record is from RNAcentral.
AACGUAGGGGGCGAGCGUUGCCCGGAAUUACUGGGCGUAAAGGGCGUGUAGGCGGUCCGGCAAGUCAGGUGUGAAAAGCCAGGGCUCAACCCUGGACUUGCAUUUGAAACUGCCGGGCUUGAGGGUAGGAGAGGGAAGCGGAAUUCCCGGUGUAGCGGUGAAAUGCGUAGAGAUCGGGAGGAACACCAGUGGCGAAGGCGGCUUCCUGGACUAUGCCUGACGCUGAGGCGCGAAAGCUAGGGGAGCAAACAGG